GAUGAACGCUGGCGGCGUGCUUAACACAUGCAAGUCGAACGAAGCACUUUAUUUGAUUUCCUUCGGGACUGAUUAUUUUGUGACUGAGUGGCGGACGGGUGAGUAACGCGUGGGUAACCUGCCUUGUACAGGGGGAUAACAGUUGGAAACGGCUGCUAAUACCGCAUAAGCGCACAGCAUCGCAUGAUGCAGUGUGAAAAACUCCGGUGGUAUAAGAUGGACCCGCGUUGGAUUAGCUAGUUGGUGAGGUAACGGCCCACCAAGGCGACGAUCCAUAGCCGACCUGAGAGGGUGACCGGCCACAUUGGGACUGAGACACGGCCCAAACCCCUACGGGAGGCAGCAGUGGGGAAUAUUGCACAAUGGGCGAAAGCCUGAUGCAGCGACGCCGCGUGAGCGAAGAAGUAUUUCGGUAUGUAAAGCUCUAUCAGCAGGGAAGAUAAUGACGGUACCUGAUGAAGAAGCACCGGCUAAAUACGUG
RNAcentral lists this ribosomal RNA (481 nucleotides) under uncultured bacterium. Its description in RNAcentral is "partial 16S ribosomal RNA". It matches the Rfam family "Bacterial small subunit ribosomal RNA", at positions 28 to 507 of the family's 1533-position model. The record is from RNAcentral.